GGCGAGGGGGCUGGUAACAGUCACCGUCGAACGGGUGCGCAACGCGUAUGCAACCUACCUACCACUGGGGGAUAGCCCGGGGAAACCCGGAUUAAUACCGCAUAAUACAGGGGGCCGGCAUCGGUCUAUUUGUUAAAGAUUUAUCGGUGGUAGAUGGGCAUGCGUCCGAUUAGCUAGUUGGCGGGGUAACGGCCCACCAAGGCGACGAUCGGUAGGGGAGCUGAGAGGUCGAUCCCCCACACGGGCACUGAGAUACGGGCCCGACUCCUACGGGAGGCAGCAGUAGGGAAUAUUGGGCAAUGGAUGCAAGUCUGACCCAGCCAUGCCGCGUGCCGGAUGAAGGCCCUCAGGGUUGUAAACGGCUUUUAUCUGGGAAGAAGAGCGGGGAUGCGUCCCCGUGUGACGGUACCAGAGGAAUAAGCACCGGCUAACUCCGUGCCAGCAGCCGCGGUAAUACGGAGGGUGCGAGCGUUGUCCGGAUUUAUUGGGUUUAAAGGGUGCGUAGGUGGCCUGGUAAGUCAGUGGUGAAAUGCGGUCGCUUAACGAUCGAACUGCCAUUGAUACUGCCGGG
RNAcentral lists this ribosomal RNA (571 nucleotides) under Rhabdobacter roseus. RNAcentral describes it as "bacterial SSU rRNA". It matches the Rfam family "Bacterial small subunit ribosomal RNA", at positions 61 to 640 of the family's 1533-position model. Lineage: Bacteria; Pseudomonadati; Bacteroidota; Cytophagia; Cytophagales; Cytophagaceae. The record is from RNAcentral.